UACGAAGGGGGCUAGCGUUGCUCGGAAUCACUGGGCGUAAAGCGCACGUAGGCGGCUUUUUAAGUCAGGGGUGAAAUCCUGGAGCUCAACUCCAGAACUGCCUUUGAUACUGGGAAGCUUGAGUCCGGAAGAGGUGAGUGGAACUCCCGGUGUAGCGGUGAAAUGCGCAGAUAUCGGGAGGAACACCAAUUGCGAAGGCAGCUCGCUGGGACGUUACUGACGCUGAGACGCGAAAGCGUGGGGAGCAAACAGG
Molecule: ribosomal RNA, 253 nt
Filed under: uncultured bacterium
Lineage: Bacteria
Description: partial 16S ribosomal RNA
Rfam family: Bacterial small subunit ribosomal RNA
Source: RNAcentral